This 1248-nucleotide long non-coding RNA is filed under the name Oncorhynchus mykiss (rainbow trout). RNAcentral's name for it is "lncRNA (ENSOMYG00000052807.1)". The record is from RNAcentral. Lineage: Eukaryota; Metazoa; Chordata; Actinopteri; Salmoniformes; Salmonidae.
AUGGACUUCUGUUCCCUGCAGGUUCCUGUCUCUCUCUCCCACCAUCUCUCCUCUCUCCCUCCAUCUCUCCUCUCUCCCUCCAUCUCUCCAUCUCUCCUCUCUACCUCCAUCUCUCCUCUCUACCUCCAUCUCUCCUCUCUCCCACCAUCUCUCCUCUCUCCCUCCAUCUCUCCUCUCUCCCACCAUCUCUCCUCUCUCCCUCCAUCUCUCCUCUCUCCCUCCAUCUCUCCUCUCUCCCUCCAUCUCUCCUCUCUCCCACCAUCUCUCCAUCUCUCCUCUCUCCCUCCAUCUCUCCUCUCUCCCACCAUCUCUCCUCUCUCCCACCAUCUCUCCUCUCUCCCACAAUUUCUCCUCACUCCCACCAUCUCUCCUCACUCCCACCAUCUCUCCUCACUCCCACCAUCUCUCUCUCUCUCCCACCAUCUCUCCUCUCUCCCUCCAUCUUUCCUCUCUCCCUCCAUCUCUCCUCUCUCCCUCUCUCCCUCCUCUCUCCCACCAUCUCUCCUCUCUCCCACCAUUUCUCCUCACUCCCACCAUCUCUCCUCACUCCCACCAUUUCUCCUCACUCCCACCAUCUCUCCUCUCUCCCUCCAUCUCUCCUCUCUCCCUCCUCUCUCCCACCAUCUCUCCUCUCUCCCUCCAUCUCUCCUCACUCCCACCAUCUCUCCUCUCUCCCACCAUCUCUCCUCUCUCCCUCCAUCUCUCCUCACUCCCACCAUCUCUCCUCUCUCCCACCAUCUCUCCUCUCUCCCACCAUCUCUCCUCUCUCCCUCCAUCUCUCCUCUCUCCCACCAUCUCUCCUCACUCCCACCAUUUCUCCUCACUCCCACCAUCUCUCCUCACUCCCACCAUUUCUCCUCACUCCCACCAUCUCUCCUCUCUCCCUCCAUCUCUCCUCUCUCCCUCCAUCUCUCCUCUCUCCCUCUCUCCCUCCUCUCUCCCUCCAUCUCUCCUCUCUCCCUCCAUCUCUCCUCUCUCCCGCCAUCUCUCCUCUCUCCCUCCAUCUCUCCUCUCUCCCUCCAUCUCUCCUCUCUCCCUCCAUCUCUCCUCUCUCCCACCAUCUCUCCUCUCCCUUCCCACCAUCUCUCAUCUCUCCCUUCAUCUCUCCUCUCCCUUCCCUCCCUCUCCUCCUCUCCUAUUGCGUUAUGUGAAGGAGGGCAGGAGAAUAGUGGACACACCGCUGAUGAGGAGAGGCUGAGGCUCAGGAUAUGUCCAAAAUGGCCCUCUAUUCACUAUAUAGUGCACUAA